GUGGAUUUGAAAUUUAAAAAAAAAAACGCUUUAUUUUUUAAUGAGAUUUGAAAGAGUGUAUUUUCCAGUAGUAAAUGAAUGUUUAAUCACAUUUGAUUGUUGUUUAAUUGAAGAAAUGAUAAGAUUAAUUUCGUGAAUGGCUUUUUGUACUUUUGGAUGGUUUGGCCCGUUAAUUUCAAUAUAUAACUUCUUCUUCUCACUAAUAUGAACAGAAUUGGUUGAAGGGUUGGAUGAAUCUGGAGGAAUAUAAAUACCUUUAACUUGGCAGAUAACACCACAGUUUUCAUUAAUAGUUUUUAUAAUAUCUUUAUGGACUAUUUUUUGUCUUAUAAGAGUAGGAUAAUCAUUAAUUUCAAAGAUUCCAAUGACUCUACCAUUGACAACUUGAUGAAGAUUAUUAGGAAUUGUGAUUGAGUUCGGAUUACUAUAAUCAGUAAUACUAAUUAUAUUUGUAUUUUGAAUAUUACAUACAUUGUUUAGUUUUGCAGCAUUAAUUGUGGCAAGUUGCAAAGCUUUUUCAGCUUCUGGCAUAUGAGCAAUUUCAGAAUGAGAUAGCGUAUUGGCAUCUGAAGUUGUGUUAUUAUUAAUAUUAUUAUUAUUAUUAUUAGUAGUAGUAGUAGAGUCAUCAUCAUAAUUUGAGUUAAUAAAGAUUUGUUCUUCAGUAAUAUUGGUUGUAUCAGGAAUAAGCCCAAGAGCUUUUUUAGUAUCAUCUUUAAGAAGUUGAAGGGAGCUUUUUUCAUCUUUGGAGAAUUUGAAUCCCUUACCUCCGAAACCAAAGUUUCGGAUUCUCUUAUUUGAUGAAUUAUUGGAAAUUGAUGAUGCACUCUUAUUCUUUUGUAUUAAUUCAUUAUAAAGCUGAAUAAUCUCUGGCUGAAUAAUAAUGGUGCUAUCAUCAUCAACAAAUUUAUUAGAAUUGGCAUUGCUAUUAUUAUCAUCAUCAUUUCCAUGAACAUUCCGAGAGAUAUGCCUAUUUGAAGCAUUAUUAUUGGAAUAUUUCAUUGCAAGUUCAAUUAAAUCAAAAGAUUGGGGUAUUUCAUUGGGUAAUAAAAGAGUAAAUGAGGUACCGAAAUUCCCAGCUCUCCCAGUUCUUCCAAUUCUGUGAAUGUAAUCCUCAAUAUGGUGUGGAGCUCCAAAGUUAAUAACAAGCAAAAUAUUGUCAACAUGAAGACCUCUUGAAAAUAUUGAUGUUGCUAUUAGAAUAUUCUGGCCUGAUGGAGGAGGUGGAUUGGAGUUCAUAUUAGUUUUUGAGAAAGUAGUUAAAUUUGAAUGUCUAUCAUAGUGGUCUUGACCGCUAUGUAAAGUUAAACAAUUAUAGCCAAAAGGGAUAAGUUUAGCAAAGAGUUCAUCCACAUCAGUUUGUCUAUUACAAAAAAUUACAAUAAGACCAAAUUCUGCCCAUUCACCAAGAAGUUGGAGUAGUCUUAGAAAUUGAUCAUUUUCAUUAUUAAGCAAUUCAAUAUACUGUUUAACAUUUUGGUUCAUUUGGCCUUUUUUUCCAACAAUUACUUGUAUUGGAUUAUGGAGUAUUUUAUUUGUAAACUGUUCAAUAAUAUUUGGGAAAGUUGCAGAAAAUAUGGCAAUUUGUCUAUCUGGCCUUAUAAUACUUAUAAUACUAAGAAGCUGGGGAGCAAAACCCAUAUCAAAUAAUCGAUCCCCUUCAUCAAUAACUAGAAAUGAAAUAAAUUGGAAAAUAACAAUUUUCUUAUGUAAUAGAGUCAUAAUAUCAAUAAUUCUUCCGGGAGUUCCAAUGAUUAUAUCUGAUCCUGAUCUAAUUUUAUUGAGUUGAUGACUAAUACUGAGCCCACCACAUAUAAUAUUGGUGGUGAGAUCUACAAGAUUUGCAAGCUGAGUGGUUUGUUUGUAAACUUGGAGGGCAAGCUCUCUAGUUGGAAUAAUAAUCAUUGCCCUAGCAAGGUUGGUAUUUUUGUUAAUUUGUAUAUCCAUCUCUGCAUUGAAUGGGUAGUUGUUAUUUGACUGCACCAAUACAUGUCUUAUAAGAGGAAGAAUAUAAGCUAAGGUUUUACCACUACCCGUCUCUGCAUUACCAAUCAUAUCAUAUCCAGACAUUAAUAUUGGUAUCGAUUGCAUUUGAAUUGGAAAUGGUUUAAUAAUGUUUUUUUUCUUAAGAUAAUGAUGAAUUGGAAGUGGUAGUCCACAUUGUGAAAAGUUUAAUAUCGGCUUUAUUGAAGAAUAUGGUUGAUUUAAGUCAUUUGAAGUUUUAUUGAUAUUCUUAAUUUUUUUAAUGUGGAUACCAUUAUUAGUAAUUCGAAUAUGAUCAACUUCAUGCUGUUUAAGUUUUUUAAUUUCAUUAACUUCUUUGUAAUAAUUUUUAAUAAUUGGUGGGUAAUUGAUUACUUCGUGGUUAAUUUCUGGUAUUCUCUUCUUUUUAUCCAAAGAGAGAAGUUCUUCAAUUUUACUUAAACUUGGAUUCAUA
RNAcentral lists this non-coding RNA (2434 nucleotides) under Cryptosporidium parvum. The record is from RNAcentral. Lineage: Eukaryota; Apicomplexa; Conoidasida; Eucoccidiorida; Cryptosporidiidae.